Molecule: non-coding RNA, 4588 nt
Organism: Salmo salar (Atlantic salmon)
Lineage: Eukaryota; Metazoa; Chordata; Actinopteri; Salmoniformes; Salmonidae
Source: RefSeq, a predicted model, not a curated record
CUGUAUUUUCGAUAAAGAGGCUACAGAAGGCCAAGAAAUGGUCAGACAGGGCACUUCCCAUAUAGAAUCUUCUCAGGUUUUGGCCUGCCAUAUUAGUUCUGUUAUACUCACAGACACCAUUCAAACAGUUUUAGCAACUUUAGGGUGUUUUCUAUCCAAAUCUACUAAUUAUAUGCAUAUUCUAGUUUCUGGGCACGAGUAAUAACCAGAUUAAAUCGGGUACAUUUUUUAUCCGACCGUGAAAAUACUGCCCCCUAUCCUAAACAGGUUAACCUAGCUUGGCUCAAUAAUAGCCUGCUUUAAUAACAGAAGACCAAAUAACUACCAACUUAAAUGUCAAUGUUUAAAUCAUAGUUGAUUAUCUAGAUAGUUGGUUGGUUAGUUUCUCUACUGAAAAACUAUAAAACGUACCUCCCUAUUGUCAGCCAUCUAUCAUCAAAAAUCAGGUUAGAGAGCAGUGACGCAAGUGUUUGCUUGCGCAAUAAUGUUUUAUCUCUCCAUCUUGUGCGCAUUCGACUUUUAGACGAUUUGACUCCAGACAAUAGAGGACUUAAAAAAAAUGUGUUUAGCUCUCUAUACAAUUUAUUUAGGAAACCAACGGUGGUUGCACAGUACACUGGGGAAAAACUGAAAAUCCUUAUUGAUCAGAGAUGGACUGGCCACCUCGCCACGGUUUCAAUAAUUUUGGAAAUCAAGUGACAACAUCACAAAGAUGCUCGGUGAAAUCGCGUAUACUCGUGCAUAUGGCACAGAUAUGAGACUUGAGGCUAGCAGUGACAGAGCCGUGCUUUACCGCAGUGUGCAAAAUGACAGUUGUGUAUAUGACUGUAUUUCAGCUAAGCCUACAUUUGUGUACAUUUUGCAGUAGUAUAGAACCAAUAGCGUGUGUAGCCCAACUUAAAGAAGUAGGCAAACGUUCACUCUGUUCAUUGUAUAUAAUGUAUGUAAACUUUGUUUAAACUCCGCUGUCUGUAUCAUGUGUCUAAAUGUUGUCUAUCACUAGCAGCACCAUAUCACCAAGUAACAUUAUGAGUAUGUGCAAAUGUACUUGGCGAAUUAAGGUGAUUCUGAUUCAUUUGCAUUGCACAAAGUGCUAGGCUAUGGAAAAAGGGACAUCAAUACUAUGAAAACGGCAAAUAGCCUACUUUUUGUCUCAUCCCUGCUCUCUUGCUAUAGCUUGUGUGUGUGUGUUGCUCUCUGAAUGGGCAUUUACUCUUAUUUGCGGCCGAUUCGAAUGGGCUACUGACAUGUAGGAAAUUUCACAUCAGCUAUGAAAAUAUAAUAUGCUCUUAGUUUGAUUUAGUUUGCUUUCCUGAAACUCUCCCACAGAAAAUAUUGCGCAUCUGGAGAAGUGGCGGCCGUAGGUAACACGCAUGCGUACACUAAAAAUUAGGGGUUCAACGAGGGUUCUUCUAAAAUUCUCAAAGUUCUUUGAAGAACCAUAGGGUUCUUGGCACUGAAAAUUGCCCUCAAAAGGUUAUUCCAAGAACCCCAUAGGUGGUGGGGUUCAUUGAGGAACCUCCUUAGUUGGUGGGGGUUCUUGCAAGAACCUAACUGCCCAACUAAAAGUUUGGAUUUGAAUUUGAAAGGACAGCAGGUGCAGGCACUUAACUGAAAAAUGUAAAGAUCUCCUCAAUUUAAGGUAAGGUUUGUCCCUUAUAUGAUCUACAUUUAUAUUGUUUUGUGAUGAUACCAUCUAUCUCUUAAUAUUUGUGCAAAUCUUUCUAGAACAGAUAAUGGACACAAUUCAAUGCAUAUCAAUCAACAAAGAGGUAAGAAUAUGUAUGCUAUUAGAAUAUGUUGAAGGCUAGCAGCAUUGUGUGCAGAUGACUGAACUGCUCACUUUUGUGUCUGUGUCUGCAGGUAUACAGACGAUGAGGCAUACGAAAGUAUGUCUAUUGGUAUGUUAUGGAGAUCACAUGUACCAUCCUCUUCCCUUACCUCAUCAAUGAAUAUCCCAUAGGCCUGUACAUUAUGGACAAGACUUCACCUUCCCUACACCUCUGAUGAAUAACACAGGAUACCUGUUUGACCACCAUGCACUGCAAAAUCAUUCUGGCUAUGGAUACGGAGAACAUCAACACAUAACAUCAACAAGCCAGAGUAUAUACCCAUUGGACAUGGGGCUCUGCUGGGAGUUUACCUCAUAUUUAGAUUUUUUUAUUCUGCUUUGCCACUAAAAUCAUAAUCCACACUGACAACUAAAAUAUUGUGUUAUUGUUAUGUGUGUUGUUAUUAGUAUUAUUUAUUAUUAUUAAUAAUAAUAGGGGAGGGGGGGCAGUUAAAAAUUAACCCCAAAAGGUUCUUCUAAGGUUGUUCGAGGAGCCAUUAAAAGAAGAACCCUUUCAAAGGGUUAUUUGAAGAACUUAUAGGGGUUCCCCCACAGUUUCAAUUUGAAGAACCCCUAACCUAAAGAAUACUCCAGGAACCUUUUUAGAGUGUAUGAAGCCUGUAAGAAUCUUUGAUUUCAUCCUGUCGCCAUCUUCUGGAUGCAGCUUCGGUAGCUUGAAAACCUCCAAAAAGCUCAAAGAUGAGAAAAAAAUACUAAAACUAAACAUAAUUCAUUAUAUUUUUUACUGUCUUUUAUUUUAGUUAGUUUUGGAGUCAAAGAUUAUUGUUUCAGUAUAGUUUUAGUUUUUUUUAACAGGUUGAAAUUGAUUUUAUUUCAGUUUACUAAAUGUUUUUUUUUCAUUAUUUGUUUUCGGUUCAGUUUUCGUUUACUAUAAUAACAUUGCUCUAAACCAUUAUGUGCUUGACACAACAGCAGUACAGGAAGGCCUGCCUCUGACCCAGCCACUAACCUAACCUAGGCCUAUUUAAUGACAUCCUUCGGCACAAUGGUUUGAAUUUUAUUAUAUCAGUUUUCACCGGUUGUGUUCAGGCUUAUAAGCACUGUCGAUCUGUAACUGAUCUGUAAAUGACUAUGAGAGGAGCACCGUUUCUCCCGGGAUGGUUUUAUCAAUCCAAUUUCAUCAGAUCAGUGCAGAUUACUUAAAAUGUAUAAAUUUUUUUUGAGUAUUCAAACAGAGCCAUAUACUUACCCUGUUCUGUCCCUCGUCUUCUUGGGUAUAUGGGGAACUGAUUUUAUGACUUUGCUUAGCCUUAGAGGCAACUUCUACCGGAUCUGUUCUUGACUCAUAAACCACUGAGCGGCGCUAUGUCAACAUUGCGUAAAUUAAACUCGUGCACCAGCCGGCUCGCUCUCUGUCUGCUCCAGCAAUUCGAGCCUGCAGGGAUGAGGUUACCUAGAAGUCCACUGUGGGAGGAAUGUAAACAUGCCGAUAAUCUUGUAUAGUGUACAUGCAACACUGCUGCAUACUUUUUUAUUGAAGCCUUUGUGACCCAAAUAUCACAAUUCUAUUUGAAUACAAAAUGUUACUUUAAUUAUGCAAGAUGAAAUAUUAGAAAUGUCUAUUGUCAGAGGCACUGGAUGCAUUGAAAAAUUUGUUUACAAGCAAGAAAAAUGAAUUUAACAAACAAUUGUAAACAAGCAUCUGUAUUCAUGUACUUUUAGGCCUAUUUGAUUCCUAAACUAUUGUAAAAAGUAUAGGCCUUUGGUUGACAAUGACUUAUAGAACAUAGGUCAUGAUGAUUAAAGAAGUUACUUGAAUACUGGCAGGGUCUUUGUAUUCUCCUCUUGGUUGAAAAUGACAUGUGAAAGGAAAAGUUAAAGUACUUUAUCUAACCAAAAACACAAAACAAUCAAUCAACGCCAACAUCAUUUAAUGAUAUUAUCAUUAUAAAACAUGAAAGCACUUUAGUCAUUGAAUGGUGUUUGGGAACAUUGGACAUGCUUUAUUUCAGAACUUUUCACAAUUGAUUUAAACAUCUCACAUAUACAAAAUAGGUACAAUAAACUUUGUGGGUUUUUUCUUUUGAGAGAGAGGCCGCCUAAAAUCCAUUAAAAAUGGAUGAAAUAAUGUGCUGUCAGCAUGAACACUGCAUUGAAGGAGGGAAUUGAAGGAGAAAAAUGGCUGAACAAAAACAAAUCAAAACUUCUAGACAAAAAUGAACAAAAAAAAACUUUAAAAAACGGUCAAAACCAGACAAACAUCAGACCAGAAAAUUCCACCUGCUUAAAAUGGGGUUAAUCAGGGGGGACCUGUGCAAGACUCAUCAAAGUCAAUACAAAGAAACACAGUAAGAAUGAGAGUGGUUUCCUGCUCCUACACAGCUGUAUGUUUAGCACCAUAGGUCUCUGCUUCAAGUAAUUCAGCACCUUUGAUACAGGACGGAGCUUGAAGCCUUAGAACUCGUAACUUCUAGGUUGUGGAUCAGACAGGUUCUCAAUAUUUUUUCUAAAAAACAGGCAUGAGGUAGCUUCAACCUUUUUUUGUAAUAUUUUUGUGGUUUUAAACCUCCUCUUUGGAAGAUAUACAAAGAGCACAAAGUGAUGCGUUUUUAUUACACUUCUUUUAUUUUUUACAAAAUGAUGACAUGUCCCACAACAUGGUGUUUUCCCGCGUCUCUUUGGGCUGCUGUAUUAAUUUGCAUUGCACAACGCUCCGUUCAGUCCAUUGGUCCUCUCCGAUAGAGCCCAGCUUAAGCAAGUGGAUGCGCAGAGGAAAAUCAGCAUUCAGUAUAAAAA